UGGGGAAUAUUGCACAAUGGGCGCAAGCCUGAUGCAGCCAUGCCGCGUGUGUGAAGAAGGCCUUCGGUUGUAAAGCACUUUCAGCGAGGAGGAAGGUGGUGAGCUUAAUACGCUCAUCAAUUGACGUUACUCGCAGAAGAAGCACCGGCUAACUCCGUGCCAGCAGCCGCGGUAAUACGGAGGGUGCAAGCGUUAAUCGGAAUUACUGGGCGUAAAGCGCACGCAGGCGGUUUGUUAAGUCAGAUGUGAAAUCCCCGGGCUCAACCUGGGAACUGCAUUUGAAACUGGCAAGCUAGAGUCUCGUAGAGGGGGGUAGAAUUCCAGGUGUAGCGGUGAAAUGCGUAGAGAUCUGGAGGAAUACCGGUGGCGAGGGCGGCCCCCUGGACGAAGACUGACGCUC
RNAcentral lists this ribosomal RNA (400 nucleotides) under uncultured bacterium. Its description in RNAcentral is "partial 16S ribosomal RNA". It matches the Rfam family "Bacterial small subunit ribosomal RNA", at positions 355 to 748 of the family's 1533-position model. The record is from RNAcentral.